GACGAACGCUGUCGGCGUGCUUAACACAUGCAAGUCGAACGGAAAGGCCCUGCUUUUGUGGGGUGCUCGAGUGGCGAACGGGUGAGUAACACGUGAGUAACCUGCCCUUGACUUUGGGAUAACUUCAGGAAACUGGGGCUAAUACCGGAUAGGAGCUCCUGCUGCAUGGUGGGGGUUGGAAAGUUUCGGCGGUUGGGGAUGGACUCGCGGCUUAUCAGCUUGUUGGUGGGGUAGCGGCUUACCAAGGCUUUGACGGGUAGCCGGCCUGCGAGGGUGACCGGCCACAUUGGGACUGGGAUACGGCCCAGACUCCUACGGGAGGCAGCAGUGGGGAAUAUUGCACAAUGGGCGGAAGCCGGAUGCAGCAUCGCCGCGUGCUGGAUGACGGCCGUCGGGGUGGAAACCGCUUUCGCCUGUAACGAAGCGUGAGUGACGGUAAUGGGUAAAGAAGCACCGGCUAACUACGUG
Molecule: ribosomal RNA, 468 nt
Filed under: uncultured bacterium
Lineage: Bacteria
Description: partial 16S ribosomal RNA
Rfam family: Bacterial small subunit ribosomal RNA
Source: RNAcentral